UGGUCUAGCGGUUAGAACGCUGGCCUUGUAAUCCUGCGGUCUCGGGUUCGAUUCCCGA
RNAcentral lists this transfer RNA (58 nucleotides) under Zootermopsis nevadensis. It matches the Rfam family "tRNA", at positions 8 to 63 of the family's 71-position model. From Rfam's summary of the family: Transfer RNA (tRNA) molecules are approximately 80 nucleotides in length. Their secondary structure includes four short double-helical elements and three loops (D, anti-codon, and T loops). Lineage: Eukaryota; Metazoa; Arthropoda; Insecta; Blattodea; Termopsidae. The record is from Rfam by way of RNAcentral.